CUUCAUUGCUGUUCGAUGUAAUUCUGUCUUAUGGAACCAGUUACAGGUUGUUAAACUGUGCCUCAAUGAGUUUUUCCAAUGUAACUCUGCUGUCUCAAAGUAAGGAAAACACUUGCUGUUCGGUGAAAAAGGAAACUGUAUAUGCCUGAAACCUCAAUCAUCAUUUCUUCGUCGGAUCCACAUAAAAUGGCAAAAGCACACAAAAUAUUAUGUGAAAAUUUGGGUUUCAAGUAACUUCCACUUCGACUGUCCAAUGUACUUUUCAUGCUUCCGACAACAGCACACUGCUACUGUUGAAUUGGAUGUUGGUUGAAAUGGAGAAACAUCGGCAAGAGAGUCACAGGAACCAUCAGAAGUCAUGGAUUGAAGUUUGAUUCCAACAUCGCACUUCACCAUUAGAGUUGAGUUCUUCACCAUGAUUAUCACCAUCACCAUCAACUUCAACAUCAACAUCAGCAUCAAAAUCUUUGAUUAUGUCACACGAAUCCUCCAACAGGCAAUCAAUAAUUAACUGGUCAUUUGGAUAGUCAUCAUCGGCAAAAUUGUCAAAUUCGUCUUGUAAAUUUUCAUCUGGCAACUUUUCAUCAAUCCUGGUUAUUUUAUCUUGUUUGACAUCAGCAGUGAAAGGGAUUGGUGACAGACCGACUGGAUUCAAUUGGGUCAAUAGAGAUUCAUAAGGUCCUUCAAUAUCUGUCAAAGGGGAAUAAUUAAUUUCAUCUAAAGGUGCAUACUCAUUGGAAAUAACUUCUGGAUACAUUUGCAGCAAAAACGGUCAGAAUUACAAUCGAAGGAAGAACCAACGAAUGCUAUGAUAAUGAACAAGAAUGGUCAAAGACUCGUGAUCUUCAAAGAAAAAAUAAAUUGGAAAAGGCACAAAAAGGACACGAAUAGUUUGAAUAAGCUUGAAAUUGUUGGUAAAUUGGAUCAAGUCAAGGUGCGCACAUUGGGAAAGACAGAUUAGCCUUUUGGCUGGAAUUAAAGUUAUUAGAAUUACUUCUAUUUAGAUUUUUGGCGAAAGCUUGAUUAAUUUCCGCGACCAUUUAUGAAAACUCUAACUGGCAUGUUUCAGGAAUGUUAUGCACAAACGCAUCCACGGAAAAGCAAAAUUAGCAAGUUAAGCUUGGCAAGAAUGUAAAUUAUUAGCUACAAAAAGACGUGAAUGGAGGUUCAGAAAGUAAAGAGUUCGAUUGAAAAUCAGAAAAAGGAAAAUCAAACUCAGAAUGUUUACCCAGAAACGCAUUUCGUGUCGCAUUCUGCCAGUUCACACGUAAUAACCAUUUUUCCAGAGUCGGAAGAUAACAAACAUGAGGUUAACUGUCAAGAUGACCCUUACAAACUUCAAUCCAUGACUGCUGAUGCUUCCUGUGAUUCUCUCGCCGAUGUUUCAGAAUCUUAGUUGUUGACUACUUAUACACACCAUUGGACAGUCGAAGUGGAAGUUACUUGAAACCCAAAUUUUCACAUAAUAUUCUGUGUGCUUUUGCCAUUUUGUGUGGAUCCGAUGAAGAAAUGAUGAUUGAGGUUUCAGGCAUAUACAGUUUCCUAUGCAAGUGUUUUCCUUACUUUGAGACAGCAGAGUUACAUUGGAAAAACUCAUUGAGGCACAGUUUAACAACCUGUAACUGGUUCCAUAAGACAGAAUUACAUCGAACAGCAAUGAAGGGAUACAAAUGGACAAUCAAUUGGAACCAUAAAACAUGUUUAGCCUGGGAAAUCAGCAAACAAUGUAUUAAAGAUGUAACAAGCUUAAAUCUGUGUCUCUCUGAUCCAGGUAAGAUUGAGAAAACAUUUAGAUUGUUGAAGGUUGAAACAACGAUUUAAGUUAAUACGAUAAACACAUGGAAUGAUCAAAGGAGUCAAAGCUAAAGGAAUCAGUGAUACAAAUUAGGAUUGUACAAAUUAAUGUGCUACAACAAACCAAGAAAUCUAAGAUAAUCAUAAGAUUGAAUCUAUUUUUUGGACAACAGAUUAAUACCAGGCUAAUUCCAAUUCUGUGGAACAUGUUCACCAAGUCCACAUGAUUUCAUCCUUAUUUACACUUUCAACUGAUUAAUCAUAACAAGUCAACACUCAUCACAUUAAAUCGCCAUCAUUCAAUCAAAACUGAAAA
RNA transcript from Tetranychus urticae (two-spotted spider mite), 2110 nucleotides. It is a transcript of the gene named forkhead box protein N4-like, with no coding region annotated. The record is from RefSeq and is a predicted model, not a curated record. Lineage: Eukaryota; Metazoa; Arthropoda; Arachnida; Trombidiformes; Tetranychidae.